ACGUAUGGUGCGAGCGUUGUCCGGAAUUACUGGGCGUAAAGAGCUCGUAGGGGGUUUGUCGCGUCUGCCGUGAAAGUCCGGGGCUCAACUCCGGAUCUGCGGUGGAUACGGGCAGACUAGAGUGAUGUAGGGGAGACUGGAAUUCCUGGUGUAGCGGUGAAAUGCGCAGAUAUCAGGAGGAACACCGAUGGCGAAGGCAGGUCUCUGGGCAUUAACUGACGCUGAGGAGCGAAAGCAUGGGGAGCGAACAGG
Molecule: ribosomal RNA, 252 nt
Filed under: uncultured bacterium
Lineage: Bacteria
Description: partial 16S ribosomal RNA
Rfam family: Bacterial small subunit ribosomal RNA
Source: RNAcentral